GGGACAGCCAUCUCAGAUAGGCUUUCUCCAUCUGUUGGGAGCCUGGGCAAGUGGGAAAGAAGUCUUUUUCGAACGCUUCAGUUGUAUGGCUGGGCUACUUGGCAGGGCACUGGAAAUGACGAACUUGUGCAGCCUGCAAAUGAGACCACUCAGUUUUCAGUUUUGAUUUGAUUCACUCACUUGUAGUUAGGUAAAUACAGGCUCUGUGUGGCUCAAGGAUUGUCAGACUGGGGUAAGGGGCCAAAGAUACAGUGAUGAUGAAAAAAAGAAAAUUAAAUUAGAAAUCUUUCGGUUACUUCAGGAAUACGUGUAAGAAAUUGAGAUGCUGCCUCUUCCAUGAUGUCACACUGCAGAGAAAAAUCCAGACUGGAUAGAAAUGGUUGAUUGAAAGGAAUUCUGGAUGAAUACCUAGAAUCCUCUGGUAUUCCGAUUACUACAUACAUACAUGCUGGGCAAUGACUGGAGAGCUGAGAAGAGAGGAAAAGGAAAAGACUGAGGGUACAAGAGCUCUGAGUUUGGAUUAUUCAGGCUGCAUGGUGUGGGGAAAAACCAAGACUGGCUCUCAGAGGGUUAAAAACACCUGUCUGGAAGAGGACCCUGAAGAUUGCAGUUCAUCUCAGGGAACUUGCCCAGCCCUGAGCAUUAAGGCAGGAAGCCACCUAGAACGCUGUUCUCUGCCUUUGAGUCACACAGAACCACUUGCAGGAAGAACUCCAGAGAAUUUGGGAAGAAAGGAGAGAGAGGGCAGACAAAAGGUGCAUUUUUUUUUAAGAAGCAAGAAAACAUAA
RNAcentral lists this long non-coding RNA (788 nucleotides) under Aotus nancymaae (Ma's night monkey). RNAcentral describes it as "lncRNA (ENSANAG00000039065.1)". Lineage: Eukaryota; Metazoa; Chordata; Mammalia; Primates; Aotidae. The record is from RNAcentral.